RNAcentral lists this long non-coding RNA (1581 nucleotides) under Manihot esculenta (cassava). RNAcentral's name for it is "long non-coding RNA (MESC_LNC006184)". Lineage: Eukaryota; Viridiplantae; Streptophyta; Magnoliopsida; Malpighiales; Euphorbiaceae. The record is from RNAcentral.
CUUAUCUUUUGGCAUUUGCCUAUUAAAUGAGUUAUUGUUGAGGCAUUUAAAUGUGUGAAUCAUCUCUCCAAACUCUCUCAUUAAUGCUCAAAGCCAUUUCAUUUCCUCUUCAUCAUCAUCAUCGUCAACAAAGGAAAUGGAGAAUUAUAGACUGAGGUUUCUGUGGUUACCUUUGGGGUUUUUUCUUCUUCUCCUCGUCUGUGCUAAAGCUGAAAGUAAGUAAUCUUAAUUUCUUUUUUUUUUUUUUUCUUUUAAUUUUAAACUUAUGAAAAUAAUAAUAAUAAUAAUAAUUNNNNNNNNNNNNNNNNNNNNNNNNNNNNNNNNNNNNNNNNNNNNNNNNNNNNNNNNNNNNNNNNNNNNNNNNNNNNNNUUUUUUUUUUCUUUUAUAAGCAUUUUUUGAAAUUAUUUAUAUUGUAAGAAAUAAUUCAAAUAAAUAUUUAUAUUUUUAAAUUUUAAAUAAAUAAUUUUUAAAAUAAUUGAUAUAAAUUUUGGUGAAUGAUUUUAUAGGUCUCUACAAAUUGCGCCACAAAUCUACACCUAAAUGGAGUGUUGAAUAUAAAUGGAUCUGCGCUUACAGACUUCUGCACUGGUGGGUGCGCAGAACACACUCAUAAUGUGCUUACUUGUAUUUAUUAUGCCAAAAGAGAUUUCUGGUUCGCAAAUGGCGCUACCGUUAAAAACCUCACUGAAACUAUUCAUCAUGGAUGCUCCACUAAUACAAGUGAGUUUUUUGCUACUAUCAUAAACAAGUGGGUUAUAUACAUGGGAAACACUUGUCUAGACUUCGUUCAUCAUGGAUUAAACCAUAUAAAUGGGUUUUCUAUAAAAAAAAAAAUGAGACCCACAUAUUUAUGUUUUAAAAUUAAUUUGAUUCAUUCAAACAGAUCUAAACUGUCCCAAAUAACUUUUAGAUUCACUUUGUAUUUGGCCCAAAAUUGUUAAUCCAAAUUAUUUAGUAGUUUCGUGCUAACUAUUAUAUACAGUUAGAAAUUGUCAUAUCCGUCGAUGCGGAUGUCUCUUAAAUCUAAGCUUUGAAAUUGAUGUAAUCCAUGAUGUAUGAGGUUCAUUAGAUAUGUGAUUUAAACUCGAGAGUUUAUGAUUUUAAAAAUAAUUACGAUAUUAAUAUUUUUUUUGAAUAUAUAUCGUAUUAAUAAAUUAAAAUUCCUAAUUAAGUGUGUGUUUAGGAGAAUGUAAUUAUAAAAUAAAUAAAUAAAAAUUUUAAUUUGAAUAAUAAACUGAGUUUUUUAUUUUUUUAUUUGAGGUGCAGGUAUUAAUACAGAUUUCAAAAGCAGUGCAAUGAGGGUAUACCAAAAUCUAUUGGUUCCAUUGGUUUCAUCUAUAGCAACAAUGCUCAUAGUUAACAUCUUCCACAUGUGAGGGUUUUUCAGUAUAUUGGAUGUAUCCCACAAUAAAAUCUAUAAUAAUUUGGGAACUUUUCUCUUAAAUAAUGUCUCUAUUCUAUUCUGUAUACAUGCAAAUUUUAUUUUAUUUUUCUUUUGGAGACAGGUUUUUUUAUGUAUUUGGCUAUAUUGGGAAGAAUCCCACAAUAAAUCUAUAAUUACUGGGGAACUUUUUAUAUAA